RNAcentral lists this ribosomal RNA (494 nucleotides) under uncultured bacterium. Its description in RNAcentral is "bacterial SSU rRNA". It matches the Rfam family "Bacterial small subunit ribosomal RNA", at positions 903 to 1397 of the family's 1533-position model. The record is from RNAcentral.
AAAGGAAUAGACGGGGGCCCGCACAAGCGGAGGAGCAUGUGGUUUAAUUCGAUGAUACGCGAGGAACCUUACCUAGACUUGAACGUAUAUUGAAUACUAUAGAAAUAUAGUAGUUAGCAAUAACGAUAUACGAGGUGCUGCAUGGUUGUCGUCAGCUCGUGCCGUGAGGUGUCAGGUUAAGUCCUAUAACGAGCGCAACCCUUACACUUAGUUGCCAGCAUGUUAUGGUGGGGACUCUAAGUGGACUGCCUGCGUAAGCAGUGAGGAAGGAGGGGAUGACGUCAAAUCAGCACGGCCCUUACGUCUAGGGCGACACACGUGCUACAAUGGUAGGUACAGAGGGCAGCUACAUAGUGAUAUGGUGCGAAUCUCUAAAGCCUAUCUCAGUUCGGAUAGGAGUCUGCAACCCGACUCCUUGAAGUUGGAUUCGCUAGUAAUCGCAGAUCAGCCAUGCUGCGGUGAAUACGUUCCCGGGCCUUGUACACACCGCCCGU